UCGUAUAACCGAGGUGCAAGGGCUGUUGCUGACCUUCAAAGGUCGUGCACGCCCAAGCACUCUCACACAUCCAUCUCUCACCCCCUUGUGCAUCGCCGCGUGGGCCCCCCCUUUGCAGGAGGGCUUGCGUUUUCACAUAAAACUUGAUACAGUGUAGAAUGUUUUCUUUUGCGGUCACACGCAAUCAAUA
RNAcentral lists this unclassified non-coding RNA (190 nucleotides) under uncultured Russula. Its description in RNAcentral is "sequence contains ITS1". The record is from RNAcentral. Lineage: Eukaryota; Fungi; Basidiomycota; Agaricomycetes; Russulales; Russulaceae.